CUUUAUGGAACUUACUUUCAACUUCAGUUCUUCGUCAAUCGGUAGAGGAGCAAGAAGCUUCUUCUUUUCGCUUUCAGCAACUUGAGUCUCGUAAGAUUCCACCAGAUACUGUGAAUUAGAAGAGAAGCUGUCAGGUCUAGCAGGAAUUCUGCGGGAUUCAUCGCAAUCAGAGGAACACAACCUAUAGACGAAAAAUAAUCCAAUGCAGCAGACGCCUUCCCGAAGUAAAGCAGGCUUCCUUUGCCAAGAAGAAUCAACUUGUCGAACUUGUGGAAGAGCCUGCUGGAUGGCUGAUGAAUCGUGGUAAUCACCGUUUUCCCUGCCUGUUUCAUUGUUAAAUAACAUCAGCGAAUUAAAAACGUGAUUUUCUUUCUAGCUUUUCCUGCUAGCUUUUUCAUAUGAUUUUCUAUAGGAAACUAGGAAAGUACGAGUUGUUUAUUCCUUCGGUUUUACCUCUGCUA
Long non-coding RNA from Ipomoea triloba (trilobed morning glory), 461 nucleotides. RefSeq lists it as uncharacterized. The transcript has 2 exons. Lineage: Eukaryota; Viridiplantae; Streptophyta; Magnoliopsida; Solanales; Convolvulaceae. The record is from RefSeq and is a predicted model, not a curated record.